Agrilus planipennis (emerald ash borer) is the source of this 844-nucleotide long non-coding RNA. RefSeq lists it as uncharacterized. NCBI's taxonomy places the organism in Eukaryota, Metazoa, Arthropoda, Insecta, Coleoptera, Buprestidae. The transcript has 6 exons. The record is from RefSeq and is a predicted model, not a curated record.
CACAAUGGUACAUGAUGAUAUAUCGCAGUCGCUAAUGUAUUAUCGUUGUAGUCACCUUGUUAUCAUCGAACGUUGUGCUUAUGAAAUUUGCUUUUUAAUGGAAUUUAAUUCGGUAGCGCGAGUUUGUGCUUUCAUACGUAAAAUGUUGCAUAGAAGGAUUAACUUUUAAACAAAUGAAUGGACAAGUAACCAGAGUUUGAAAUCGAUACAAGCCAGAGCAGCAGACGUUGUGAAACUUCCCAGUGUCAAUAAUGGAUUAAUCGGACCCAAUGGAGAUAUGCAAAUUACAGGUCAUCGAGUCUUCCGCACUACCAGGACUUCAUUGGACAUUGACAAGGGAAGAAUCGAGGCUUAGUCCAAUCAGCCCGUUUCAUCCAAAACAAGGAAGAUCAAUGUAUGUCUUUAAGGCAGGACGUUGGAAUAAGAAUGCGCCCUGAAAUCUACAAAACUACCCAGGACUAAAGAUGAAAAUCGAACUUAUUAAAGAUCUAAAGUCAACUAAAGCAUCACUCGCAGGAAUUGAUAUGCAAGACUUUGAAACGAGAUCCCGUAAUGUGCAAAAUAACCCAGGAUUAGUGACGGACAUCGAAUCUAUUAGAGAUCUGGAAUCAACUAAGCUUCAAGACCAGGAAUCGACAUGCAGAACCGUGGGACAAAACCAUGUCCCGCAAUCUGUCCAAAAGACUAGAAAUGGGCAUCGAACCUAUAGGAGAUGCUGAGUCAAGUAAGCAUCACGAGGAGGAAUUGACAUUUAUCCAGGCAAAAAAUUGGGACAAGACUGAGUCUUGUAAUCUGCAAAACUGCCCAGGAUUAAAGAUGGGCAUCGAACCUGUUGGAGAUGAAG